GUACACGCUGUGACUAGCAUAUCAAUAAGCGGAGGAAAAGAAACUAACAAGGAUUCCCCUAGUAACGGCGAGUGAAGCGGGAAGAGCUCAAAUUUGAAAUCUUAAAGGGUUUCCCUUUACGAAUUGUAGUUUAAAGAAGUGUUUUCUGUUGAGGUUUUGGUAAAAGUUCUUUGGAAUAGGACAUCAUAGAGGGUGAGAAUCCCGUAUUUGACCUUUACUUUCAACUUUGUGAUACACUUUCAAAGAGUCGGAUUGUUUGGGAAUGCAGUCCAAAAUGGGUGGUAAAUUUCAUCUAAAGCUAAAUAUUGGCGAGAGACCGAUAGCGAACAAGUACCGUGAGGGAAAGAUGAAAAGAACUUUGAAAAGAGAGUUAAACAGUACGUGAAAUUGUCAAAAGGGAAGCGUUUGACACCAGUGUUGUUUUUCUGAAAAUCAAUUAAAGAACUGUUUAUGCUAAGUUGUUUAGACUUUAUCAGCUAACUGUUUAGUUUUGAGCUUUUCUUUAAUGCACUUUUCAGUUAACAAGUCAACAUCAAUUUCUUUUGCUGUAAAAAAGGCCUGAGGAAGGUGGCUUGAGAUUCGUCUUAAGUGUUUAUAGCCUCUUGCCUAUGCAGUCGGAGAGAUUGAGGUCUGCAGGCGUAGAUCCUUCGGGGCUAAAUGCAUUUAUGCUAAGUUAUAGCAUUUUAUAGACAACUUGUUGACUAUGAUUUGUCUUGUAGCUUACUCGCUUAUGUUAUUUUACCUACGCUUAGGAUGUUGAAGAUGUAGCACAUCAU
Molecule: ribosomal RNA, 776 nt
Filed under: uncultured Neocallimastigales
Lineage: Eukaryota; Fungi; Neocallimastigomycota; Neocallimastigomycetes; Neocallimastigales
Description: partial large subunit ribosomal RNA
Rfam family: Eukaryotic large subunit ribosomal RNA
Source: RNAcentral